UGGGGAAUCUUGGUCAAUGGGCGCAAGCCUGAACCAGCGACGCCGCGUGAGUGAUGAAGGCCUUCGGGUUGUAAAGCUCUGUGGGGAGGGACGAAAGAACUCAGUCGAAUAGGCUGAGUAGUUGACGGUACCUCCUUAGCAAGCACCGGCUAACUCUGUGCCAGCAGCCGCGGUAAGACAGAGGGUGCAAACGUUGCUCGGAAUUACUGGGCGUAAAGCGCGUGUAGGCGGGCUUGCAAGUCAGAUGUGAAAUCCCUGGGCUCAACCCAGGAACUGCAUUUGAAACUGCAAGCCUUGAGUAUCGGAGAGGAAAGCGGAAUUCCUGGUGUAGAGGUGAAAUUCGUAGAUAUCAGGAGGAACACCGGUGGCGAAGGCGGCUUUCUGGACGAUAACUGACGCUGAGACGCGAAAGCGUGGGGAGCAAACAGG
RNAcentral lists this ribosomal RNA (429 nucleotides) under uncultured Myxococcales bacterium. Its description in RNAcentral is "bacterial SSU rRNA". It matches the Rfam family "Bacterial small subunit ribosomal RNA", at positions 355 to 776 of the family's 1533-position model. The record is from RNAcentral. Lineage: Bacteria; Pseudomonadati; Myxococcota; Myxococcia; Myxococcales.